GACGGGGGAUGCGAGCGUUAAUCGGAUUUAUUGGGCGUAAAGGGGGCCUAGGCGGCUAAGUAAGUCAGAGGUGAAAUCUCCACGGCUCACCCGGGAAAUAGCCUUUGAUACUGCUUGGCUCGAAUUCGGGAGAGGGAAGCGGAAUUCCGUGUGUAGCGGUGAAAUGCGUAGAUAUACGGAGGAACACCAGUGGCGAAGGCGGCUUCCUGGACCGACAUUGACGCUGAGGCGCGAAAGCCAGGGGAGCAGACGGG
RNAcentral lists this ribosomal RNA (254 nucleotides) under uncultured bacterium. RNAcentral's name for it is "partial 16S ribosomal RNA". It matches the Rfam family "Bacterial small subunit ribosomal RNA", at positions 524 to 776 of the family's 1533-position model. The record is from RNAcentral.